Molecule: ribosomal RNA, 483 nt
Filed under: Triticum aestivum (bread wheat)
Lineage: Eukaryota; Viridiplantae; Streptophyta; Magnoliopsida; Poales; Poaceae
Description: partial small subunit ribosomal RNA
Source: RNAcentral
AUGGAUGGGGUGAUCGACGCGGACUACCGCAACCCGGUGGGCAUCGUGCUCUUCAACCACUCGGUGACGGACUUCACCGUGAAGCCUGGUGACCGCGUCAUACAGAUGAUUGUCCAGGUGAUUGCGACGCCGGAGGUCGCCGAGGUGGAGGACCUCGAAGCCACCGUCUGGAGGUUGCCAAGAUGUGCUCACCGGAAACAGAGGGUGGGGCGGCCGGACUUGAGGAAGACGACGGCCCGAGACAGGUCGGGUCGAAGUCAGUACGGUCGUUUAGAUGCGUCCCUGCACGAACUAGGAGUCAGGGAGAAGGAGAAGACCAUCUCGAAGUUAAUAGAGCAUGAGGAGGGGCUGGAAUCCUACAGAGGCGAUGAAACGCACCGGCGGAAAGCUUCUGGACGGUGGCGGACUCCGGCGAGAUGGCGACGGCUCUCUAGGUCACGGGAGAUCUCAAUUUUGGUGAAAAAUCGGACGAGGAUAGGGUGA